AACGAACGCUGGCGGCAGGCCUAACACAUGCAAGUCGAACGGGUCUUCGGAUCUAGUGGAACGAACGCUGGCGGCAGGCCUAACACAGCAAGUCGAACGGGAUCUUCGGAUCUAGUGGAACGAACGCUGGCGCAGGCCUAACACAUGCAAGUCGAACGGGAUCUUCGGAUCUAGUGAACGAACGCUGGCGGCAGGCCUAACACAUGCAAGUCGAACGGGAUCUUCGGAUCUAGUGG
RNAcentral lists this ribosomal RNA (236 nucleotides) under Rhodobacteraceae bacterium W09. RNAcentral describes it as "partial 16S ribosomal RNA". Lineage: Bacteria; Pseudomonadati; Pseudomonadota; Alphaproteobacteria; Rhodobacterales; Paracoccaceae. The record is from RNAcentral.